UAAACCUACUCGUUACCAUCUUGGUUGUC
RNAcentral lists this small RNA (29 nucleotides) under Bombyx mori (domestic silkworm). Its description in RNAcentral is "ovarian small RNA-1335". Lineage: Eukaryota; Metazoa; Arthropoda; Insecta; Lepidoptera; Bombycidae. The record is from RNAcentral.